GGGGAAUUUUGGACAAUGGGGGCAACCCUGAUCCAGCCAUGCCGCGUGCGGGAAGAAGGCCUUCGGGUUGUAAACCGCUUUUGUCGGGGAAGAAACGGUCUGCGCUAAUACCGCGGGCUAAUGACGGUACCCGAAGAAUAAGCACCGGCUAACUACGUGCCAGCAGCCGCGGUAAUACGUAGGGUGCAAGCGUUAAUCGGAAUUACUGGGCGUAAAGCGUGCGCAGGCGGCUUUGCAAGACAGAUGUGAAAUCCCCGGGCUCAACCUGGGAACUGCAUUUGUGACUGCAUGGCUGGAGUGCGGCAGAGGGGGAUGGAAUUCCGCGUGUAGCAGUGAAAUGCGUAGAUAUGCGGAGGAACACCGAUGGCGAAGGCAAUCCCCUGGGCCUGCACUGACGCUCAUGCACGAAAGCGUGGGGAGCAAACA
RNAcentral lists this ribosomal RNA (426 nucleotides) under uncultured Piscinibacter sp. RNAcentral's name for it is "bacterial SSU rRNA". It matches the Rfam family "Bacterial small subunit ribosomal RNA", at positions 356 to 774 of the family's 1533-position model. Lineage: Bacteria; Pseudomonadati; Pseudomonadota; Betaproteobacteria; Burkholderiales; Sphaerotilaceae. The record is from RNAcentral.